Molecule: ribosomal RNA, 521 nt
Filed under: uncultured Glomeraceae
Lineage: Eukaryota; Fungi; Glomeromycota; Glomeromycetes; Glomerales; Glomeraceae
Description: SSU rRNA
Rfam family: Eukaryotic small subunit ribosomal RNA
Source: RNAcentral
AGCAGCCGCGGUAAUUCCAGCUCCAAUAGCGUAUAUUAAAGUUGUUGCAGUUAAAAAGCUCGUAGUUGAAUUUCGGGGUCAAUACGUCGGUCGUGCCUCGGUACGCACUAACGUUAUUGAUUCCUCCCUUCUGACGAACCGUGAUGUCAUUAAUUUGGUGUUGUGGGGAAUCAGGACUGUUACCUUGAAAAAAUUAGAGUGUUUAAAGCAGGCAAUCGCUCGAAUACAUUAGCAUGGAAUAAUGAAAUAGGACGUUCGAACCUAUUUUGUUGGUUUCUAGGAUCGACGUAAUGAUUAAUAGGGAUAGUUGGGGGCAUUAGUAUUCAAUUGUCAGAGGUGAAAUUCUUGGAUUUAUUGAAGACUAACUACUGCGAAAGCAUUUGCCAAGGAUGUUUUCAUUAAUCAAGAACGAAAGUUAGGGGAUCGAAGACGAUCAGAUACCGUCAUAGUCUUAACCAUAAACUAUGCCGACUAGGGAUCGGAUGAUGUUAAUUUUUUAAUGACUCAUUCGGCGUCUUACG